This 1269-nucleotide long non-coding RNA is filed under the name Anas platyrhynchos platyrhynchos (common mallard). RNAcentral describes it as "lncRNA (ENSAPLG00000021985.1)". Lineage: Eukaryota; Metazoa; Chordata; Aves; Anseriformes; Anatidae. The record is from RNAcentral.
GACGAUGGCUGGCAGCUGGAUUUGAUAGUGUUGUGAAUAAAGCUGUUCUUUUUUUUUUUUUUUUUUUUGACAUUCCACAGCAAUCCCUUAUUCUUUAUCACCACUUUGGAGCAGGGAAUACUCCAGCUAUCAGUCAUCACAAGUCUGACCACCACCUCCCUCAAGAUACAAAUAAAGUAAGAAAGGGAGUUUAAGACAAACUCGUUAAUUAAUAAAGAAAGGGUGGGGGGCACAUGCCUGCCUUCAUUAGGCAGUCACUGAGCUCCCAAGCAAUCACAGCGCUGCAGGUGCUUUCCUGAUUCUUCUGGCCCAUAAUGCAGCCAGUGUGGCAGCAAAAUAACGGCCCAUGCAGAUAAGGAACAGGCAGGUUUGCUUUUGCAGCUCUCUACCCUCUUGGCAUUACAGCCUUCCAGCUUCAGGGCAAACAGAACUGCAAGGCCAGGCUAUGCCAGAGGGACAGGUCUUGCCACAGAGAGGCUUUUAGUGAGCCUGCUGGCACAGGAGAACUGCUUUGCACGAGCUCCAGGACUGUCACCGAGCGUCUCCGUCUCUGAACACGAGUGGUGAGACCAUCCAGGGCACGUAUUGCAAGCAACGCUCUACCGAGGCGGUCAGUUGUCAGCUUGGACACAUCGUGGAAAAGAACUAGUACAAUUAAUAUCCUAGUUCUACUUUAUUAACAAGUGUUUAAAAAUUCUUAAGACUCAAGGAAUGCUAAUUUAAGAGACAGUAGGAAGAUGAAGGCGUCAUUCAGAGGGGCUGGUUUUCACAGCCACCCCCACCAGUGGCUUCUGAACACUGAGUUGGAGCUGCACAGUCCUGGAAACUUGUUCCUGGGACACCUCUUUGCUGUCAGGGAUUAACAGAAUUGGCUGAGGACCUCCUGUGGAUGGAGAGGUGGGUUCUUCUUGGCUGACAAGUGUUUCCUUUUUGUGGGGAAGUACUCUGUAAUCUGGGGGAGUGAUGUAAAUGUUGAUCAGCACCCGUGUGCAUCUGUCCACUUGUUUUUUGUCGUUUAGAGGGACUGCUAUCACUGAUAGAAACUGGAACUGACCAGAUGUAAUUUGAAGGGGAUGUGUUGUCUCUGUGGAUGUUGGGUGGAUGGGUGGGAGGGUGGAUGAAUGGAUGGAUGUUAAUUCUUGUAUUUUAAACCAGAUGGAAGUGUUGUUCUUAUACUAAAACUUGAUGGCAGUGAUCAUUUUCUUGGUUAAGGGAUUUAGUAAAGUGUAUUAAGUAGCAGCAUGCUAGACAGCAGUUGCUUUUAAAACA